RNAcentral lists this ribosomal RNA (502 nucleotides) under uncultured bacterium. RNAcentral's name for it is "partial 16S ribosomal RNA". It matches the Rfam family "Bacterial small subunit ribosomal RNA", at positions 28 to 507 of the family's 1533-position model. The record is from RNAcentral.
GACGAACGCUGGCGGCGUGCCUAAUACAUGCAAGUCGAACGAACCGCGACUAAGUGCUUGCACUAAGUCAAGGUGAGUGGCGAACGGGUGAGUAAUACGUGGGUAACCUACCUCAUAGUGGGGGAUAACAGUCGGAAACGACUGCUAAUACCGCAUAGGACAUAGGAUCACAUGAUCCAGUGAGGAAAGGUGGCGCAAGCUAUCGCUAAGAGAUGGACCCGCGGUGCAUUAGCUAGUUGGUAGGGUAAAGGCCUACCAAGGCGAUGAUGCAUAGCCGACCUGAGAGGGUGAUCGGCCACAUUGGGACUGAGACACGGCCCAAACUCCUACGGGAGGCAGCAGUAGGGAAUCUUCCGCAAUGGACGCAAGUCUGACGGAGCAACGCCGCGUGAGUGAAGAAGGUCUUCGGAUCGUAAAGCUCUGUUGUUAGAGAAGAACAGCGCAUAGAGUAACUGCUAUGCGUGUGACGGUAUCUAACCAGAAAGCCACGGCUAACUACGUG